Non-coding RNA from Triticum urartu, 232 nucleotides. The record is from RefSeq and is a predicted model, not a curated record. Lineage: Eukaryota; Viridiplantae; Streptophyta; Magnoliopsida; Poales; Poaceae.
UGCUGGUACCUCGUUUUUAUCAAGCUCUGAAGACAUGCACAAGAAUAGUUUUGUUAGAUCCGUCGAUGAUGUAAACAACAUAUUUCAAGAUAUGAUGGUUAGAGUGCAGCUUUCAGAUAAUUUUCUUCCCUCGGGAUAUUUGAAGAUUGUUUGUUACCCAUCAAGUUCAGGAAAACCAAGGGUAUCAUAUGAAUUGGAUUACGUAAAAGACACGGAGAUAAAAGGUACGUGG